This 376-nucleotide ribosomal RNA is filed under the name uncultured bacterium. RNAcentral describes it as "bacterial SSU rRNA". It matches the Rfam family "Bacterial small subunit ribosomal RNA", at positions 521 to 895 of the family's 1533-position model. The record is from RNAcentral.
UAAUACGGAGGGGGCAAGCGUUGUUCGGAAUUAUUGGGCGUAAAGGGCGCGUAGGCGGCCAUGCAAGUCGGUUGUGAAAUCCCUUGGCUCAACCAAGGAACUGCGUCCGAAACUGCAUGGCUCGAGUCCGGGAGAGGGUAGUGGAAUUCCCAGUGUAGCGGUGAAAUGCGUAGAUAUUGGGAGGAACACCGGUGGCGAAGGCGGCUACCUGGACCGGAACUGACGCUGAGGCGCGAAAGCUAGGGGAGCAAACAGGAUUAGAUACCCUGGUAGUCCUAGCUGUAAACGAUGAGCACUUGGUGUAGCGGGUAUUGACCCCUGCUGUGCCGAAGCUAACGCAUUAAGUGCUCCGCCUGGGGAGUACGGUCGCAAGGCU